UGACAUUUUGGGCCUCAAUACCCAUAUACCUUACCUAUGCCAUCUGGUGACAGCGAGAUGAAAACCCUGAUGUCAAAGGAGCUAAUUAAAACCCUGGUAACUAAGGAGUGAGAGGACAUAUCUUGUGUAAUCUUUGCUAUUAUUUCUUGCUGUUAUAUCUUGUUAUUAUCUGCUUUCUCGCAGAGAGAGAGAGAGGACUUCAACACUAUGGCUAGAGGUUCAGGGCGACUAGUCACACCAAACCUCUCAGACCACCGCAUUGAAGGGCGUUGCAGCCCCAAACAGGGAGGAGUCCAUCAGGAGACAUAACCAAACCAGCGUUCUGUCCAGCUGGAGUGUGGACACAGAGGGGAUGAGGUUCUUCAAUCAUCCAGCCCAGGCUGCUCAUAGUAAUAGCACCACUUCCAUCAUGCACACAGUAACUGCCACAACUGGAGGACCUCAAGGUUGAAAGAGGUACAACUUUGGCUUUGAGUCACAUCAGAAAGAUUGUGCCUCUGGCAAUGUGAUACCCGCUGAUACUAUGCUGUGCAUCAGCUCAUUCAUGACUCAAAGAGAAGAGCGCAACACUCUUACUGAAUCACCAGAGCUGUUCAUUUUGUGGGUAAAGUAGGUGCAGUUGAGGUGAAAUUCACUUCUGUGCAAGGGACUGGCACAAGAUUCACUUAAACCCAAUUUAAACCCUAAAUGGAGGACUCAGCUCUUAUACAAAUCCUUUAAGCAGGUGUGAGCUUCACCGUCAAUGGAGUAUGAGCAUAUAUAUAUGCUCAUUUUAUGUAUAUAUAUAUAUAUAUAUAUAUAUAUAUAUAUAUAAAAAGAAUAAAAUGUCAACUCAAUAUAGAUUUUCAUAGAAUCAUAGAAAGUAAGGGUUGAAGGGACCUGAGGAGGUCAUCUAAUCCAACCCCCUGCUCAAAGCAGGACUGUCCCCAACUAAAUGAUCCCAGCCAAGGCUUUGUCUAGCUGGGUUUUGAAAACCACCAAGGAUGGAGCUUCCACCACCUCUCUGGGUAACUUGCUCCAGUGUUUUAUUACCCUCCUACUGAGAAAAGUCUUCCUAAUAUCCAACUUAAACUGCCCUUGCUGCAACUUGAGACCAUUGCUCCUUGUCCUGUCAUCUGCCACCACUGAGACCAGUCCAGCUCCAUCCUCUUUGGAUCCCCCCUGCAGGGAGUUGGAGGCUGCUGUUAAAUCCCACCUCAGUCUUCUCGAGACCAAAUAAACCCAGUUCUCUCAGCCUCUCCUCACCAUUUUUGUCACCAUCAUUUUCCCCGCUGUCUUUGUAUGGAAAGUUCCUCAAUUACAACAUUUGUUUCUGUAACAAAGUCCUUUACCUACCUGAUUUUAUGACUAUAAACCAGCAGCUGUGGUGUGGGUUUAAUGUUUAGUUAGGAAAUUGAAUAUGCAGUGCAUGUAAGGCAGUGAUUCUCAAUCAGGGUGCUGUGGCACCUUGGCGUGCCUUAAGAUCCUUUCAAGAGGUCUACGCAGUAUUAGUACUGUUAGCUAUAUGAGCAGGAUUGACAAGAUAAAGCUGGAGAUUUCCAAUGGGAAUCCAGAGUGUUAAUUUUUUUGUGACCUGCCAUGGUCUUUCUGAAUUCUUUGCAACAGAAAAAUUGCUCUUUUAUUGUUCCAUAGUCAAAAAGCAAAUGAUAAUUAAGAGCUGAUCUUUUCUGAGGGGUGCCUGGAGUCUAAAAAGCAUGAUAAGCCCUGACCUAAGGUUAUUGGUUCUCUAAAAAAUAUUUGCGGGUGAAUUUAUUUCUCGUGACAGUGAAGUUUAAGUAGCAAUGACUAGAUUAAAGUACGGACUCGAGUCAGUCAAAGGCACAGGCUGGUUCAAGGUGUCCCAGGCAGCUCUGCCAACGCACCUGCCUUCACUCUCAGUGCAAUGCACCCUCCAUAGUCUGCCAUUCCCUCCCAGACACAGACAGCUCAUCAGGCUGAAUUAUGUUAGGUGACGUGACGGUCUCCACUACAAGAAGAACCUCCCACAAAAUUCAUUGUAGCGACCAAAUUAGGAUUUGUUCCAGUAUGUUAGAGGGUAACAGUUAACCACGCACCAGCCGAAACCGGUGGCUCUACUGAAACCAGGCUUUACAAACAUAUAGCCUGCCACAUUUCAUGCAGGCGGGUCCGUUUUCAAACAGGCCAAGUCAAUGCUAUUACAUUUUCAAACAAAGUAAUUGCACUUUCUCUUGCCCGUCUUACUCUUUGAAACACUGGGGGGCUUGGCAAAGGAGGACUGAAGGAAGGGACAUCUUCCCGGGCAGUGACAGACACCUAGGAAAACCAAAAAGAAAAUAUUAGUUACCUGAGUGCCAAUGUUCAGCAACAACGGCAUCAAAAUGUCCAGAGCAUGUACUUCUCUUUGAGAACUUGGUAGCAAGCCCAGCAAGGUUGUUAACAAGAUUCCUACUGGAUAUAGUAUAUACUUAUUAUAUGCACUGCCCAUUUGUAGCCAAACUUGCUUGUAUGGCCUAAUGAAGAGAAGCACAGUGGUGGGGUGUGUGGGGCACUGGGUUGGGACUCCCAGCUCAUUCACAGACCUGCUGGGUGACUUUGGCCAAGUCACUCGAGCCUUCUGCCCCUUUUUCUUCUCCAUUAUCCCUUUUUUUUCCUUAUGUGUUUGGACUAACAUCCCUGGGUCUGGAGCUCUCUCCUACUUUAUGGGUAAGUACAGCAAAUAAUAGCACUCUGAAUCUCAACUGGGGGGCUCUAGGUCUUGCACAAGGAAGAGAACGACAAUGAUGACGAUGACACUUUUCCCAAAGCAUUGGGAGUCAAGUGUCAAUUCUCAGAUGACAACUGAGAUUGAGCCGCAGGAAGCAUUUGGGAGCGCCUCCAUUGCUCGGCAGGCAGGUACAAUCUACGUAGUUCUUUCAAUUCCUUUCCUCACCCGAGCGCAAAACACGUACCCAGCUCCAUCCCUGACUACCCUUAGGGGUCCAUCCACAUCAGCCACGAGUGGAACAAAACCUACAAGCGUGUCACCUCAGAGCUGACCCUCAAUUGUCCGGCAUGUUAUAAUCGCUGAUAACUGCAUCCAUCACAAUCAUCGCACUGAAGCCGUGUACUUCUACCAUUCAAUUUGUUGCAUCCACCUAUGAUCUCACAUUAUUAUUAGACGGCAUAUGUCUACAGCCCUGUUCUCUAACUGGAUCCUGGAGGCACUCUCACAGUACAAACAAUACCAAUCAUGUCUCCACGGCAUGCGGCUCAUUACCUCGCAGAUCUGCUCCGUCGCAGACCCCCAUUCCCGUGCACGUGCCCAGGGCACUCCAACACAGCUUGCAGUGCCUUGGUUCCUGAUCCCCAGUAGCACACACUGUACCCUCAGCGCGGGAGAACAAGCUGGUGUACCAAGCUGGCUGAUAAUUUUAGCUCUUUAUCUAACAAGGCAGUUGACAUUGCUUGGUCAAUACACUGCCUACACUUUAAUCCACGGGCCUCCAGCUGAUGCCUGCAAUGCUUUGGCAAUUGGCCAACGGGUUAGGACGGUUAACAAGGCAGAAAAGCAGACGCUGGGAAACUUCAGUUGGGAUUUGGAGCUAAAUGGGAAGGGCUCUUUGGAGCAAGGGGGGAAAAGAGAAAGUAGAGAAUAUAAUAAAUCCUGCUUUUCUCUUCCAGCACUGCAGGCAGUGCCACAGAGCGUGCCUGUUAGACCUAGCGCCGUGGAGUUAUCUUUCCAUUGCAAUGAUUUAUUGUGUGCGCCUGGCUUCUGUCCUAAGCCAUCCAUUUAAGUUCCAAUAAACUUCACUCAGAAAGGUUAAAAGUCAAAGAAAAUUAUCUGCUGAGCUGACGAACGUCGAGUGAAGCCUGCAAGAACAAGCAGCUUACUGCAUAAAUGAGAGUCCUUUUGACCUUUUGACUGCGAUCUGGGAGCAUGUGCAGAAAAAUGAAAGGACCUGACAGUCAUCAGAGCAGGGCAGGAGCCUGCGCAUGUGAACGGGCAUGUGAAUGGCAGCAACAGUUAGACUCAACCCCCGAGGGCCCAAACAUUAGGAUGGCUUGAAGAGAGAGUCGCUUUCUCUCUCAUUUAGGGCAUUCAUUCCCCUUUAUGUUAACUGGCACGUGAAUGUUAGGCUACAGCAUCACGGGAAAUCAGCUGCAGAGGAAAUCCAUGUAGACUGCUCUCAUUUCAUCUGCCUGCCCUGUCACAGUAGGUACCAGGCUCCUAUGUGGCUUAUCGGGAUUCACUUAUGAGUGGUCCUGGUUGCAAGCAGCAUUUUAGCAAGGUUCGCAGAGUAAGGAGCCAACCGAAAGCCCAGCAAAGGCAAUGGAAGGUUUCAAGGAGCCUUGGCUCAAUCCGCAACUGAGAUCAAAUGGGACCUCAAGCUCCAGUUAAGUAAUCUGAAGAAACAGGACUAGUUGUGAAGAGUAUAAAAAGGGAUUUUUCAAGGAGGCUGCCAGACUGACAGGUCCCUGUGGAUCUCCUUGGGUGCAGCAAUCCCAGCUCUGCAGCAAUCCCAAAACUGCCACAGCAAAACAAGCCCGCUCAUUCCUGCUCCGCCCCCCCCCCCCAACACACACACACACCACCCCCCCCACUGAAAAAAAUGCCAUGUGGUCACCAUUACAUUAGUGCUGCCCAAGACGGGGGUCCUUAGGGUAUCCCUGGGAUUGCCCCAGGAGCCCCAGGCCAUUUUUCCAGGACGAUGUGCAUGUGGAAUAGAAACAAGUGGGCAAGGUUUGGAGCUUCGGCCAGUCUAAAGAUUGCUAAGGACGCUGGUAGAAACGUAGCAUCAUAGAAUUGUAGAAAAUCAGGGUUGGUUGGAAGAGACCUCAGGAGGUCACAUCUAAUCCAACCCCCGGCUCAAAGCAGGACCACCCCCAACUGUCUCAGCCCAGGCAAGGCUUUGUCCAGCCGGGUCUUAAAAACCUCCAAGAACAGAGAGUCCACCACCUCUCUGGGUAGCUUGUUCCAGUGUUUCACUACCCUGCUAGUGAGAACAUUUUUCCUUGCAUCUGACCUUAACUUCCCUUGCUGCAACGUACUCUUUAGCUCCCAAGCCAACCCCACCCAUGAUGGUUAGCGUCCCCGCAGAGGGGCUUUCUCAAAAACACUCUAAUUACAUUUACAGCUAGUGGGUCAGUGCUUUUAGUAAGGACGGCAUGUUCACAAUCAUCUCCUUAUGUUUUCCCUGUCCUGUGGAUAGAAAUCUUGCCAGUCCCUUUAUCAACCAUAUCGCCUUCACAAGCAAAACUAUUUACCCAAAAACUAAAACAAAGGUUAGUCUAGAUCAGGGAGCUCACUUUAGAGCGGUACCCGUUCCCAAAGUUAAUAAUGUAUUAUUCCUAUUAAAACUAUAUUAAUUUUAGAGUUACUUGUCUUAGCUUUCAACUUGCUUUUAUAUGAAUAAUGUUUUUGUUCCUGAGGUCCAGAAACUGAUGUUCAAGUUUUCAAAUGCUGCCUUAUAAUCGCUAUGAACAAUAAUCAGAAAGAAUAUAUUCUAAAUACAUGUUUGAAUACUAUAUAUGUAUAUUUGAAUACUAUAUAGAAAUGGUUAUACAAUAUAUACACUCUCCUAAGGCAAAUAUUUAAAAAAUAAUAUGCUAUCUUAAUAUUUUCUUUGUAUAUAUUUAAUGAGUAUGCUAUUAAAUGGAAGAGAUUUUGUACA
Long non-coding RNA from Alligator mississippiensis (American alligator), 5612 nucleotides. RefSeq lists it as uncharacterized. NCBI's taxonomy places the organism in Eukaryota, Metazoa, Chordata, Crocodylia, Alligatoridae. The transcript is spliced from 2 exons. The record is from RefSeq and is a predicted model, not a curated record.